Molecule: ribosomal RNA, 465 nt
Filed under: uncultured bacterium
Lineage: Bacteria
Description: partial 16S ribosomal RNA
Rfam family: Bacterial small subunit ribosomal RNA
Source: RNAcentral
GACGAACGCUGGCGGCGUGCUUAACACAUGCAAGUCGUACGGUAAGGCCCUUUCGGGGGUACACGAGUGGCGAACGGGUGAGUAACACGUGAGUAACCUGCCCACAACUUUGGGAUAACGCUAGGAAACUGGUGCUAAUACUGGAUAUGUGCUCCUGCUGCAUGGUGGGGGUUGGAAAGCUCCGGCGGUUGUGGAUGGACUCGCGGCCUAUCAGCUUGUUGGUGGGGUAGUGGCCUACCAAGGCGGCGACGGGUAGCCGGCCUGAGAGGGUGACCGGCCACAUUGGGACUGAGAUACGGCCCAGACUCCUGCGGGAGGCAGCAGUGGGGAAUAUUGCACAAUGGGCGCAAGCCUGAUGCAGCAACGCCGCGUGCGGGAUGACGGCCUUCGGGUUGUAAACCGCUUUCAGCAGGGACGAAGCUUUUUGUGACGGUACCUGCAGAAGAAGCACCGGCUAACUACGUG